AUGUAACCGGACCAGUCCUUUGCCGUAAAAAGCAACGGAUUGGAAAGGGAGAUAUCAUAUACCCUGUGUUUAUUUACCUUUGUUGCUUUGGCGGGCCGUCCUUUUAGGCGUCGGCCCCGGCUGAUCGCGCCCGCCAGAGGACCCAAACUCUAAUGUUUCUUAUUGUAACUUCUGAGUAAAACAAACAAAUAAAUCA
RNAcentral lists this unclassified non-coding RNA (196 nucleotides) under uncultured Rhizoscyphus. RNAcentral's name for it is "sequence contains ITS1". Lineage: Eukaryota; Fungi; Ascomycota; Leotiomycetes; Helotiales; Helotiaceae. The record is from RNAcentral.